ACACGCAUCACCAGGGAGAUCCCCAGCAGGAGGCAGAUGCUGCUCACCAUGAAGCCCAGAGACUCAAAGAGGAACCUGGAGGCACAACAGAUGCAAUAAGCAGUGGAUGCUGCUUGCAGUCUGGAACCCAGGCACGCCUUUGGUUCCUUGCUGGUUUCAAGGCCAUUCAGGAAGACACUCAAGUGGGACUUGGGAACCCUCAGAGUUUAGCAGUGAGGCCUGCCAUAAACGCAGUGCUAUCAACCCAGCAUGUGAACAACUGCCAAAGCACCUGGCUGAAAGCAGCUCCCAAGGAGCUGAAUGCAGUGAAUUCCCAACAUGACCAAGAACUAGGAUCACACAGCUAACCCCUGGCACUACCACAGGACCGCCAGCAAGUCUUUCC
Long non-coding RNA from Lagopus muta (rock ptarmigan), 385 nucleotides. RefSeq lists it as uncharacterized. The transcript has 3 exons. The record is from RefSeq and is a predicted model, not a curated record. NCBI's taxonomy places the organism in Eukaryota, Metazoa, Chordata, Aves, Galliformes, Phasianidae.